This 614-nucleotide long non-coding RNA is filed under the name Coturnix japonica (Japanese quail). Its description in RNAcentral is "lncRNA (ENSCJPG00005014155.1)". The record is from RNAcentral. Lineage: Eukaryota; Metazoa; Chordata; Aves; Galliformes; Phasianidae.
CCAGCAGGGUCCCAGCCAAUGGGAGAGGUGUGCGCUGCUCCAUGAGGCGGCCGUUGGAUCGCCCCCUAGCGGCCAUUUUAGGUACCGCAAUAGCGGCUGUGCCGUGCUGGGGUCGUGGCCGGCGAGGGUCCCUUCUGCUCUGCGUCCCUGGGAUGUGGUGUGGAACAUCCCGAUAAGCGCCAUGACGAGCUCUGGCACCGGGAUUCAAAGCAAAGCCCAUCCCUGGGAGAAGGGGAAAUGCUUGCAGCUGCCCCUGUAAAGCGUGGCCGGGACACGGUGCAGCGUGAGGGCAAGCCCAUGCUCCGGCUCUCAGGAAGCUUCCUCAGCUCAGAACGGAGAAGACAAAAUGGCCGGAGAAAGUGAGCUGACGUCCUUUUUGGGUCAUGAAAGAAGCUGCAGUUUCUUAAAGGAAGGACAUAGGAACAUCCUCUUCAGACUGAGACAAGAAGGGUUAAAGUCUGAAAAAGAAACAGCUGCCAGAGAAAUCUGUGGAUGUGACGUGUUUCAAGAACCUCUCAAACAGUUUAUGUUUGUAAGGGAAGUGAGAACUGAAAACCACCUCAUCCUCUAGCACAAAUAUUUGGAAAUAUUGUUAAUACAUUACUAUAAUGGGA